Molecule: ribosomal RNA, 174 nt
Filed under: bacterium enrichment culture clone dark 7
Lineage: Bacteria
Description: partial 16S ribosomal RNA
Rfam family: Bacterial small subunit ribosomal RNA
Source: RNAcentral
CCUAGGGGAGGCAGCAGUGGGGAAUAUUGCACAAUGGGGGAAACCCUGAUGCAGCAACGCCGCGUGAGUGAUGACGGCCUUCGGGUUGUAAAACUCUGUCUUUGGGGACGAUAAUGACGGUACCCAAGGAGGAAGCCACGGCUAACUACGUGCCAGCAGCCGCGGUAAUAGUAU